AGGGGCAGCACAGGAGCAAUCGUGAGGUGGCGACCGGCGGCACGGGUGAGUAACACGUAUGCAACCUGCCUGUAAGCGGGGAAUAACCCGUUGAAAGACGGACUAAUACCGCAUAAUACUAAAUUACUGCAUGGUAAUUUAUUUAAACAUUUAUGGCGUUACAGAUGGGCAUGCGCAUGAUUAGCUAGUUGGAGAGGUAACGGCUCCCCAAGGCAACGAUCAUUAGGGGUCUGAGAGAAGGUCCCCCACACUGGUACUGAGACACGGACCAGACUCCUACGGGAGGCAGCAGUGAGGAAUAUUGGUCAAUGGACGAGAGUCUGAACCAGCCGAAGUCGCGUGCAGGAAGAAUGUCCCUAUGGAUUGUAAACUGCUUUUGCAGGGGAAUAAAGUGCAUCACGUGUGAUGUUUUGUAUGUACUCUGCGAAUAAGGAUCGGCUAACUCCGUGCCAGCCGCCGC
Molecule: ribosomal RNA, 460 nt
Filed under: uncultured bacterium
Lineage: Bacteria
Description: bacterial SSU rRNA
Rfam family: Bacterial small subunit ribosomal RNA
Source: RNAcentral